CACACUCAGGGAAAGAUGACUACACAGAGCUCUACACAAGGGGCAGCAUUUGGGGCCCGUGGUAGAGUUCUAUCUACCUGCCAAAUGAAGUAAACACAUGUUUAGCAACUUGAGAUCUCUGUGAAGUAAAUAUCACCAAAUAAACCCAGCCGCUCCAAGCAAGAAGAAAGCUCAGAGUAUGAUAAUCAAAUGUCAAGGGUGCAACUCGAAAUGUAACGUCAUACAGAGCUCUCAGAUGAGCAGAAGUCCACUGUGUAUCUGCACCGCAUUUUCAUUACCUGUUCACCGUCGGUAGACAUUGGGGCUGUUUUUGUGCUUCCUGGCUGCUAGGAAGAGAGCAGCAAUGAGCACAGACGAAAAGAGUCCUCCUUGUAGAACCGGCCUAUUGUCCCGUGUUUAUAGCACAACCGUAUGCAUAUGAUCCCCUCUCUGGCAGUCUGCCUCUAGGCUUACCUGUCCGCCCACCAUUCAGCCAAGCCCAGUGCUGCCAUCGUCAGCAGCAGAAAGUUGGAAGAACUAACUGGGUAACAACACAAAAGGAAAGCAGACUCUUUGUUGGCUCUCCUGACUGCGUUGUAUCAUAAUUAUCGUUUUAUGCAGCCUCGGAAUUAUUUUUUAUUCCCCUCAGGCGACGGUGCAGAAAGCAAAUGCUUCUUUCAUUUUUACAUGCUUCAGUGUUAAUACAUGUACAGACCCUGUGAGCUGACAAUUAUUA
RNAcentral lists this small RNA (715 nucleotides) under Rattus norvegicus (Norway rat). RNAcentral describes it as "uncharacterized LOC102552468". The record is from RNAcentral. Lineage: Eukaryota; Metazoa; Chordata; Mammalia; Rodentia; Muridae.